UACGGAGGGUGCAAGCGUUAUCCGGAAUCACUGGGUUUAAAGGGUGCGUAGGCGGCUAUGUAAGUCAGUUGUGAAAUACCUCGGCUUAACCGAAGGAAGUGCGAUUGAUACUGCGUAGCUUGAAUCAGGUUGAGGUAGGCGGAAUGUGGCAUGUAGCGGUGAAAUGCUUAGAUAUGCCAUAGAACACCGAUUGCGAAGGCAGCUUACUACACAGUUAUUGACACUGAGGCACGAAAGCGUGGGGAUCAAACAGG
RNAcentral lists this ribosomal RNA (254 nucleotides) under uncultured bacterium. RNAcentral describes it as "partial 16S ribosomal RNA". It matches the Rfam family "Bacterial small subunit ribosomal RNA", at positions 524 to 776 of the family's 1533-position model. The record is from RNAcentral.